Cygnus olor (mute swan) is the source of this 1837-nucleotide long non-coding RNA. RefSeq lists it as uncharacterized. The transcript is spliced from 3 exons. NCBI's taxonomy places the organism in Eukaryota, Metazoa, Chordata, Aves, Anseriformes, Anatidae. The record is from RefSeq and is a predicted model, not a curated record.
AUACUUGUUGCUCUUUAGAAAUCAUGGUUUCCCUUUAUGGUGAUUUGUUCUUUAUGGCAUUUAAUAGCUUUCAUUACUUCAGAUACAGAACUAACACCUGGACUCUGCCAUACCUGAUACUAGCUGUAUCUCCAGGGAUGUAUCCUAAAGCUCACUACCUUGUAUUCCAGCCUCGAAUGUGCUCAGUUUGCAUCCAUACCAUGCAGCUCUUCAGCACUAAGCCUGUCCAGUCAGCAAGACACCAUAGUCCCAAUGGUGUUGUGCCUACUGCAGCACGUGCUGGGCUCUGCUUUCCCCAGCCAGUCCAUACAGACACUGCUGCGAAACAGGAAAGAAACGUCAGACAUCUUCAGUAAAGAAGUCCAGGUCCAAAGAGGAUGGGGAAAAGUUAAGAAACACAGCUAAGCUUCAUUUUAUAAUAAAACGGCGCAAAAUCCAGUCGUGAAGAGGAGAUGGAAGAUGAUAUCUGCAAGAGAAAUGAAGACUAAAUGAGGAGCAACAGGCACGCGGGGUUAAUCAGCUAGAUUUAUGGUUAUGCUGAAGAACCAACUAGCUGUGCAAAGAAAACUUCGGUGCAGCUUUCCUGCUGCUCCUAAGCCUGGCCUCUUUCCCACUCACGUGCAAUUCAUCAGAGCUUGCCCAGGCUGUUGCUGAGGUCAAACGUGGGUGAACAGGGUUUACAUUGCUAACUUGGUGCGUAAGUGGUUUGGGCAUUUAUCUUUAAUGCCAAAUGGGUGCAGUUACUCACUUUGUGAAUGGGGAGAGUUUCACUGAGCUAUUCUGUCAGAGCUAUGAACCUGGAAGAGACCAAGCUCUGUUCAAGAUUCCUGCUCUCACUGGGGAGCAGUUCUGCUCCCUGUGCUUGCUCCUGCUCUGCAAGCCACCAGCUGCUCCCCAGUUCAUUGCUUCCCAAAGGAAGAAACACACCAGAAACCCGGCCACUUACUGCGGACAGAGAUCUCAGCCACCAAAACACCUCCAGUUUGUUCCAUGCGCUGUUUUCGUUUGUCACAUGUCUCAAGAGAUCAGAGAGAAAACUGUGUAUAAUGGUUGAAUUAUACAAAAUUAAUAUAUCCAAAUAUAUAUCCAAAGCCAGUUCUCAUAUUUCCAACUAAGUAAGUAAAAUCUGUGUCAAUUCUUCUGCACAUUUUCUAGGGACUGUUUUUUUUCUGUAAUUGGGACAUUUUAGUGCAGGAGAGGUUCAAGAGCUUUUACUGCAUAUUUCACAAGGAUUUUAGUGUGCCACAGCUUUUACGGUGGCUGUCAGUCUAAGUGCCCUUUUCAGCUGUGAGGUGGCGGAGUGCAGAUGAGCAUCCACUUGCUGAUCAUACCUCCUCCUCGGCUGCCCUUUCCAUGCUGCCACAAACAAACCCCCCUGUCAAGAAGGAAUGGGGUAGCUGAGCUCCAUCUAUUUAACCCAUGAUCUCUAUGAAGACUUCUGUUGUUGUUUAUUGCUAAGCGUAAUUAUUGCCCAGUGGCUAUGAGCGUGAAGCACCAAAACCCUUCCAAACAGAUCAUCUCAUACCCAGCUCUAAUGACUCCUGUCACAGCUGACAAGGUCUGUAUUGGAGGCAUUGCUCUCUAGCUUAAAAGUCCUUGUCCAUUCCCUGACCUUUGCAAGUCCCCAGCUGUGAGCAUUUUGUACAAAACUGGUGUGUGAUAAUUCUGGUUAUGCCUUGCUUGGUUCAGCCUUAAUCGCAGUAGACCACCAGCUGCAUUUUUGGGUUGGCUGUGGACUCCGUGGAGGUUGCCUGAUGGAGCAAUUAUCCUAUCCUGGAGGGCAGGGAGAGAAUUCCACCCUGUGCCUGUAAGGGUGAUGUAGAUGUUUGAAAGUAAU